UGGGAAGGAAGCUUUUUCCUGCAAAUCUGGAGUCUUCUGAUACACGUUCAGUUUUGGUCAGCCUUGUGAAAAUUAUACAUUGUAGACUGGCAUCUCCUUCAGCAGAAAUCCAGGGGCGCUGGAAACUGUUACUAGAAUGAAAGUGCCAAAGCUUGUGCAUAGAAGACUGUCAUCAAAAUGAUUGCUUCAGGGCAGAAAAGGCAAUUCUGGAUAAUUAGAUCUUAUAGCAGGCUUUCUUACAUCCUGUAUAUAAGAACCAUCAGAUAUUUUCCAGAUGAGAGAAAAUUCCUAGCAUGACUUCACAGGAAUCUCAGCAAUCAGGACUAUUUAAUGUAUUAUCUGAUUGCAAUUUACAUUUUGACCAGAAUUACAAUAAAAACAUCAUAUUUUGUCCACA
Non-coding RNA from Coturnix japonica (Japanese quail), 397 nucleotides. The record is from RefSeq and is a predicted model, not a curated record. Lineage: Eukaryota; Metazoa; Chordata; Aves; Galliformes; Phasianidae.